GGAAUCUUCCACAAUGGACGCAAGUCUGAUGGAGCAACGCCGCGUGAGUGAAGAAGAUCUUCGGAUCGUAAAACUCUGUUGUUAGAGAAGAACACGAGUGAGAGUAACUGUUCAUUCGAUGACGGUAUCUAACCAGCAAGUCACGGCUAACUACGUGCCUG
RNAcentral lists this ribosomal RNA (161 nucleotides) under uncultured bacterium. RNAcentral describes it as "partial 16S rRNA". It matches the Rfam family "Bacterial small subunit ribosomal RNA", at positions 358 to 511 of the family's 1533-position model. The record is from RNAcentral.